UACGUAGGGGGCAAGCGUUAUCCGGAAUCAUUGGGCGUAAAGAGCGUGUAGGCGGCUUGGUAAGUCCGCUGUGAAAGUCCAGGGCUCAACCCUGGAAUGCCGGUGGAAACUGUCAAGCUUGAGUCCGGAAGAGGCGAGUGGAAUUCCUGGUGUAGCGGUGAAAUGCGCAGAUAUCAGGAGGAACACCAAUGGCGAAGGCAGCUCGCUGGGACGGUACUGACGCUGAGACGCGAAAGCGUGGGGAGCAAACAGG
Molecule: ribosomal RNA, 253 nt
Filed under: uncultured bacterium
Lineage: Bacteria
Description: partial 16S ribosomal RNA
Rfam family: Bacterial small subunit ribosomal RNA
Source: RNAcentral